AACCGCGAUGACGAGUCGCGACGCUUCCCUCUGAGCGCGAAUCGGAUGGAGAGUAAUGAGUCAAAUCAUCCGCUCUUCAUCAUUGAUGACCGUUCCUGCUGUGUCUCACAGCCAGGAGGAGGGAGGUGUGAGCAGAGCGGC
The sequence is a small nucleolar RNA, 141 nucleotides long. Its record names the gene U3. It matches the Rfam family "Small nucleolar RNA U3". Rfam says of the family: Small nucleolar RNAs (snoRNAs) are involved in the processing and modification of rRNA in the nucleolus. There are two main classes of snoRNAs: the box C/D class, and the box H/ACA class. The record is from Ensembl.